This 17-nucleotide microRNA is filed under the name Plutella xylostella (diamondback moth). Its description in RNAcentral is "pxy-miR-8516". Lineage: Eukaryota; Metazoa; Arthropoda; Insecta; Lepidoptera; Plutellidae. The record is from miRBase by way of RNAcentral.
GCGGCGAGCGAACAGGU